Molecule: microRNA precursor, 76 nt
Filed under: Bigelowiella natans CCMP2755
Lineage: Eukaryota; Cercozoa; Chlorarachniophyceae
Description: miRNA EPrBNAG00000013592
Source: RNAcentral
CGAUGAUGAUGAUGAUGAUGAUGAUGAUGAUCAUGCAUCCUCAGUCUCGCUAUCAUCAUCAUUAUUAUUACUAUCA